GGCCUCGGAUGACUAGCAUGCGAGUCAUUGUAGCAAUACAAGGCAGACGGCUCAGUAACGCGUAGUCAACCUACCCUAUGGACGGGAAUAAACUCGGGAAACUGAGUAUAAUGCCCGAUAGAACAUUAUGCCUGGAAUGGUUUAUGUUUCAAAUGAUUUAUCGCCGUAGGAUGGGACUGCGGCCUAUCAGUUUGUUGGUGAGGUAAUGGCCCACCAAGACUAUUACAGGUACGGGCUCUGAGAGGAGUGGCCCGGAGAUGGGUACUGAGACACGGACCCAGGCCCUAUGGGGCGCAGCAGGCGAGAAAACUUUGCAAUGUGCGAAAGCACGACAAGGUUAAUCCGAGUGGUUUCUGCUAAAGGAACCUUUUGCCAGUCCUAGAAACACUGGUGAAUAAGGGGUGGGCAAGUUCUGGUGUCAGCCGCCGCGGUAAAACCAGCACCUCAAGUGGUCAGGAUGAUUAUUGGGCCUAAAGCAUCCGUAGCCGGCUCUGUAAGUUUUCGGUUAAAUCUAUACGCUCAACGUAUAGGCUGCCGGGAAUACUGCAGAGCUAGGGAGUGGGAGAGGUAGACGGUACUCGGUAGGAAGGGGUAAAAUCCUUUGAUCUAUUGAUGACCACCUGUGGCGAAGGCGGUCUACCAGAACACGUCCGACGGUGAGGGAUGAAAGCUGGGGGAGCAAACCGGAUUAGAUACCCGGGUAGUCCCAGCUGUAAACUAUGCAAACUCAGUGAUGCAUUGGCUUGUGGCCAAUGCAGUGCUGCAGGGAAGCCGUUAAGUUUGCCGCCUGGGAAGUACGUACGCAAGUAUGAAACUUAAAGGAAUUGGCGGGGGAGCACCACAAGGGGUGAAGCCUGCGGUUCAAUUGGAGUCAACGCCGGG
Molecule: ribosomal RNA, 882 nt
Filed under: uncultured archaeon
Lineage: Archaea
Description: bacterial SSU rRNA
Rfam family: Archaeal small subunit ribosomal RNA
Source: RNAcentral